AGCCUGCCCAGUGACUUUGUUCAACGGCCUCGGUACCCUGACCGCGCGAAGGUAGCAUAAUAACUUGUUCUUUAAAUAGGGACUAGUAUCAACGGCAUCACGAGGGUUACCCUGUCUCCUUUCUCUAAUCAGUGAACCUGACCUCUUCGUGAAGAGGCGAAGAUACAACUAUAAGACGAGAAGACCCCAUGGAGCUUAAAACACAGAAACAAUUUUUUACUAUAGACCAUAAAAAAUAAAAAAUUUUGUUAGCUAGUUUUCGGCUGGGGUGCCCAAGGAGAAUAACCCAACCUCCCUGACGACCACUAUCCAAGAGCAACAGCUCGAAGAAACAAAAAAUUGACGUAAAAUGACCCGAUUUAACAAUCGAUCAACGAACCAAGUUACCCUGGGGAUAACAGCGCAAUCCAUUUCAAGAGCUCCUAUCGACAAAUGGGUUUACGACCUCGAUGUUGGAUCAG
Molecule: ribosomal RNA, 461 nt
Filed under: Phrynobatrachus mababiensis (Mababe puddle frog)
Lineage: Eukaryota; Metazoa; Chordata; Amphibia; Anura; Phrynobatrachidae
Description: partial 16S ribosomal RNA
Rfam family: Bacterial large subunit ribosomal RNA
Source: RNAcentral